Molecule: unclassified non-coding RNA, 404 nt
Filed under: Hevea brasiliensis (rubber tree)
Lineage: Eukaryota; Viridiplantae; Streptophyta; Magnoliopsida; Malpighiales; Euphorbiaceae
Source: RNAcentral
GCUACAUGUAAAUGUUACACAAACAAAAGUAUAUUCUCAUCAAACUACAUAGAUACCAGAGGAUACAAAAUAGUUAUAGAAGACUGACUGAUCAAUUCGAAAACAAAUGAAUAAGUAUCUGGUGAAACCAAUCUUUUUCCAAAAAUGCUGAUCUACAGCAUAACCAGGACGCCACUUCUUUCAACUUCUAUGGCAUAACCUACUUUAUAUAUUGAGAUACCCACUUAAAUCCAUCGCCAUAACCCAUUUUCCGUACAAUACUGCACAUAAAUACCUCCAAAGGACGAACGGUAGAAUCAGCAAGAUUCACCUUACCUUUGCCAGUUGUGACACCGGUCAAGCCAAGGUGAUAACGCAGUUCAUCUUCUGAAGCUGCAUAUGGUAUGUCUAUCUUGUUUCCCAAA